This 2891-nucleotide ribosomal RNA is filed under the name Acinetobacter baumannii AB5711. RNAcentral's name for it is "bacterial LSU rRNA". It matches the Rfam family "Bacterial large subunit ribosomal RNA". The record is from RNAcentral. Lineage: Bacteria; Pseudomonadati; Pseudomonadota; Gammaproteobacteria; Moraxellales; Moraxellaceae.
UCAAGUAAUUAAGUGCAUGUGGUGGAUGCCUUGGCAGUCAGAGGCGAUGAAAGACGUGAUAGCCUGCGAAAAGCUCCGGGGAGGCGGCAAAUAUCCUUUGAUCCGGAGAUGUCUGAAUGGGGGAACCCACCUACUUUAAGGUAGGUAUUGCAACAUGAAUACAUAGUGUUGCAAGGCGAACGAGGGGAAGUGAAACAUCUCAGUACCCUUAGGAAAAGAAAUCAAUUGAGAUUCCCUCAGUAGCGGCGAGCGAACGGGGAUCAGCCCAUUAAGUUAUGUGUGUUUUAGUGGAACGCUCUGGGAAGUGCGAACGUAGAGGGUGAUAUUCCCGUACACGAAAGGGCACACAUAAUGAUGACGAGUAGGGCGAGGCACGUGAAACCUUGUCUGAAUAUGGGGGGACCAUCCUCCAAGGCUAAAUACUCCUGACUGACCGAUAGUGAACCAGUACCGUGAGGGAAAGGCGAAAAGAACCCCUGUGAGGGGAGUGAAAUAGAUCCUGAAACCGCAUGCAUACAAGCAGUGGGAGCACCUUCGUGGUAUGACUGCGUACCUUUUGUAUAAUGGGUCAGCGACUUAUAUUCAGUAGCGAGGUUAACCGUAUAGGGGAGCCGUAGAGAAAUCGAGUCUUAAUAGGGCGUUUAGUUGCUGGGUAUAGACCCGAAACCAGGCGAUCUAUCCAUGAGCAGGUUGAAGGUUGGGUAACACUAACUGGAGGACCGAACCCACUGUCGUUGAAAAGCCAGGGGAUGACUUGUGGAUAGGGGUGAAAGGCUAAUCAAGCCUGGUGAUAGCUGGUUCUCCCCGAAAGCUAUUUAGGUAGCGCCUCGGACGAAUACCAUAGGGGGUAGAGCACUGUUUCGGCUAGGGGGUCAUCCCGACUUACCAAACCGAUGCAAACUCCGAAUACCUAUGAGUACUAUCCGGGAGACAGACUGCGGGUGCUAACGUCCGUAGUCAAGAGGAAAACAAUCCAGACCGCCAGCUAAGGCCCCAAAAUCAUAGUUAAGUGGGAAACGAUGUGGGAAGGCAUAGACAGCUAGGAGGUUGGCUUAGAAGCAGCCACCCUUUAAAGAAAGCGUAAUAGCUCACUAGUCGAGUCGGCCUGCGCGGAAGAUGUAACGGGGCUAAAACUAUGUGCCGAAGCUGCGGAUGUAUACUUUGUAUACGUGGUAGGGGAGCGUUCUGUAAGCCGAUGAAGGUGUGUUGAGAAGCAUGCUGGAGGUAUCAGAAGUGCGAAUGCUGACGUGAGUAACGACAAAACGGGUGAAAAACCCGUUCGCCGAAAGACCAAGGGUUCCAGUCCAACGUUAAUCGGGGCUGGGUGAGUCGACCCCUAAGGCGAGGCCGAAAGGCGUAGUCGAUGGGAAAAUGGUUAAUAUUCCAUUACUUCUGUGUAAUGCGAUGAGAGGACGGAGAAGGCUAAAUCAGCCUGGCGUUGGUUGUCCAGGUGAAAGGAUGUAGGCAUGUAUCUUAGGCAAAUCCGGGGUACUCUAUGCUGAGAUCUGAUAGCAAGCUGUACUUGUACAGCGAAGUGGUUGAUGCCAUGCUUCCAGGAAAAGUCUCUAAGCUUCAGUUACACAGGAAUCGUACCCGAAACCGACACAGGUGGUCAGGUCGAGUAGACCAAGGCGCUUGAGAGAACUCUGCUGAAGGAACUAGGCAAAAUGGUACCGUAACUUCGGGAGAAGGUACGCUGUUGUUGGUGAUGGAACUCGCUUCCUGAGCUGACGACAGCCGCAGAAACCAGGCCGCUGCAACUGUUUAUUAAAAACAUAGCACUCUGCAAACACGAAAGUGGACGUAUAGGGUGUGAUGCCUGCCCGGUGCUGGAAGGUUAAUUGAUGGGGUUAGCGUAAGCGAAGCUCUUGAUCGAAGCCCCAGUAAACGGCGGCCGUAACUAUAACGGUCCUAAGGUAGCGAAAUUCCUUGUCGGGUAAGUUCCGACCUGCACGAAUGGCAUAAUGAUGGCGGCGCUGUCUCCAGCAGAGGCUCAGUGAAAUCGAAAUCGCUGUGAAGAUGCAGUGUACCCGCGGCUAGACGGAAAGACCCCGUGAACCUUUACUGCAGCUUGACACUGAACUUUGACCUUACUUGUGUAGGAUAGGUGGGAGGCUUUGAAGCUGGAACGCUAGUUCCAGUGGAGCCGUCCUUGAAAUACCACCCUGGUAAUGUUGAGGUUCUAACUCUGUCCCGUGAUCCGGGACGAGGACCGUGUCUGGUGGGUAGUUUGACUGGGGCGGUCUCCUCCUAAAGAGUAACGGAGGAGUACGAAGGUGCGCUCAGCGUGGUCGGAAAUCACGCGUAGAGUAUAAAGGCAAAAGCGCGCUUAACUGCGAGACCCACAAGUCGAGCAGGUACGAAAGUAGGUCUUAGUGAUCCGGUGGUUCUGUAUGGAAGGGCCAUCGCUCAACGGAUAAAAGGUACUCUGGGGAUAACAGGCUGAUACCGCCCAAGAGUUCAUAUCGACGGCGGUGUUUGGCACCUCGAUGUCGGCUCAUCUCAUCCUGGGGCUGAAGCAGGUCCCAAGGGUAUGGCUGUUCGCCAUUUAAAGAGGUACGCGAGCUGGGUUUAGAACGUCGUGAGACAGUUCGGUCCCUAUCUACCGUGGGCGCUGGAAAUUUGAGAGGAUCUGCUCCUAGUACGAGAGGACCAGAGUGGACGAACCUCUGGUGUACCGGUUGUGACGCCAGUCGCAUCGCCGGGUAGCUAUGUUCGGAAGGGAUAACCGCUGAAAGCAUCUAAGCGGGAAGCCUACCUCAAGAUAAGAUUUCCCUAGGACUUUAUGUCCUCUAAAGAGCCGUUCGAGACUAGGACGUUGAUAGGUUGGAUGUGGAAGCAUAGUGAUAUGUGAAGCUGACCAAUACUAAUUGCUCGUGAGGCUUGACUAU